UAUCUCUGUAGAGUCUGCAUAUCAAUAAGCGGAGGAAAAGAAACUAACUAGGAUUCCCUCAGUAACGGCGAGUGAAGCGGGAAGAGCUCAAAUUUGAAAUCUUCAAGGUUUUACCUUGACGAAUUGUAGUUUAAAGAAGUGUUUUCUGUUGGAGUUUUGGUAAAAGUUCUUUGGAAUAGGACAUCAUAGAGGGUGAGAAUCCCGUAUUUGACCAUUAUUUCCAGCUUUGUGAUACACUUUCAAAGAGUCGGAUUGUUUGGGAAUGCAGUCCAAAAUGGGUGGUAAAUUUCAUCUAAAGCUAAAUAUUGGCGAGAGACCGAUAGCGAACAAGUACCGUGAGGGAAAGAUGAAAAGAACUUUGAAAAGAGAGUUAAACAGUACGUGAAAUUGUCAAAAGGGAAGCGUUUGACACCAGUGUUGUUUUCUACGAAAAUCAAUUUAAAUGAUGGCUUGAUGCUAAGCUUUAAGACUUUAUCCGCUUGUUGUUUAGUUUUCUUGUCUUUGUGAAUGCACUUUUCAUGGAACAAGUCAACAUCAAUUUCUUCUGCUGUAAAAGGGUAAGAGGAAGGUGGCUUCGGCUUCGGUUGAAGUGUUUAUAGCCUUUUAUCUCUGCAGUCGGAGAGAUUGAGGUCUGCAGCGUAGACUCUUCGGGUUAGAUACGUCGGUGCUAAGCUAUAGCUUUUCAUAGACAACUUGUUGACUAUGUUUAGUCAUGUGGCUUACCCGCUGGCGCUAUUUUACCUACGCUUAGGAUGUUGAGUCAUCACACAUCUCU
This 775-nucleotide ribosomal RNA is filed under the name uncultured Neocallimastigales. Its description in RNAcentral is "partial large subunit ribosomal RNA". It matches the Rfam family "Eukaryotic large subunit ribosomal RNA", at positions 24 to 618 of the family's 3401-position model. Lineage: Eukaryota; Fungi; Neocallimastigomycota; Neocallimastigomycetes; Neocallimastigales. The record is from RNAcentral.